ACGGCCAUACCUAGGCGAAACACCAGUUCCCGUCCGAUCACUGCAGUUAAACGUCUGAGGGCCUCGUUAGUACUAUGGUUGGAGACAACAUGGGAAUCCGGGGUGCUGUAGGCU
Molecule: ribosomal RNA, 114 nt
Organism: Schizosaccharomyces octosporus yFS286
Lineage: Eukaryota; Fungi; Ascomycota; Schizosaccharomycetes; Schizosaccharomycetales; Schizosaccharomycetaceae
Source: RefSeq, a predicted model, not a curated record